Molecule: ribosomal RNA, 352 nt
Filed under: Hyphydrus signatus
Lineage: Eukaryota; Metazoa; Arthropoda; Insecta; Coleoptera; Dytiscidae
Description: partial 12S ribosomal RNA
Source: RNAcentral
UUAAAAUGUAAAAUUAUUAUCAAAGUAGUAUUAGUUAUGUUCUUUAAAUUUAAAAAAUUUGGCGGUAUUUUAGUCUAUUCAGAGGAACCUGUUCUGUAAUUGAUAGUCCACGAUAAAUUGUAUUUUAUUUAAUUAAUUUGUAUAUCGUCGUUAUUAAAUAUUUUAUAAGAAUAAUAAUAUUUAAGAAUUAUAAUAAAAAAAUAUUUCAGAUCAAGGUGCAGUUUAUAGUAAAAUAGAAAUGGGUUACAAUAAAUUUAUUUAAUAUGGAAAUUUAUAUGAAAAUAUAUUUUGAAGGUGGAUUUGAAAGUAAUAUGGUUAAUAUAAAUUGUAUGAUUUUAGCUCUAAAAUGUGU